Molecule: ribosomal RNA, 497 nt
Filed under: uncultured bacterium
Lineage: Bacteria
Description: partial 16S ribosomal RNA
Rfam family: Bacterial small subunit ribosomal RNA
Source: RNAcentral
GAUGAACGCUGGCGGCGUGCCUAAUACAUGCAAGUCGAGCGAACGGACGAGAAGCUUGCUUCUCUGAUGUUAGCGGCGGACGGGUGAGUAACACGUUGAUAACCUACCUAUAAGACUGGGAUAACUUCGGGAAACCGGAGCUAAUACCGGAUAAUAUUUUGAACCGCAUGGUUCAAAAGUGAAAGACGGUCUUGCUGUCACUUAUCUAUGGAUCCGCGCUGCAUUAGCUAGUUGGUAAGGUAACGGCUUACCAAGGCAACGAUGCAUAGCCGACCUGAGAGGGUGAUCGGCCACACUGGAACUGAGACACGGUCCAGACUCCUACGGGAGGCAGCAGUAGGGAAUCUUCCGCAAUGGGCGAAAGCCUGACGGAGCAACGCCGCGUGAGUGAUGAAGGUAUGCGGAUAGUAAAACUCUGUUAUUAGGGAAGAACAUAUGUGUAAGUAACUGUGCACAUCUUGACGGUACCUAAUCAGAAAGCCACGGCUAACUACGUG